GAUUUCUGGUACAAUGCACCUGGCCCGCGGCCCUCAAGGCUUGUGAGUGCCGGCGCGCGUUUACCAUCCUUCUAGAAAACGAUUCUGCCAUUCACUUGGUUGGGAUCGCGAUCUAGAUCUUUUACUUGAAAAAAUUAGAGUGUUUAAAGCAGGCUUUUGCUAUGAAUACAUUAGCAUGGAAUAUAUUUUGUUGGUUUCUAUAACUGAAGUAAUGAUUGAUAGGGAUAGUUGGGGGUGCUAGUAUUGGCCGGCCAGAGGUGAAAUUCUUCAAGACUAACUUAUGCGAAAGCAUU
This 293-nucleotide ribosomal RNA is filed under the name uncultured Rhogostoma. Its description in RNAcentral is "partial 18S ribosomal RNA". The stretch from base 60 to 293 matches the Rfam family "Eukaryotic small subunit ribosomal RNA", at positions 691 to 955 of the family's 1831-position model. Lineage: Eukaryota; Cercozoa; Thecofilosea; Cryomonadida. The record is from RNAcentral.